Molecule: ribosomal RNA, 254 nt
Filed under: uncultured bacterium
Lineage: Bacteria
Description: partial 16S ribosomal RNA
Rfam family: Bacterial small subunit ribosomal RNA
Source: RNAcentral
UACGGGGGGAGCAAGCGUUGUUCGGAUUUACUGGGCGUAAAGGGCGGGUAGGCGGCCACCGCAAGUCAGUUGUGAAAUCUCCGGGCUUAACCCGGAAAGGUCAACUGAUACUGCGGGGCUAGAGUGCAGAAGGGGCAACUGGAAUUCUCGGUGUAGCGGUGAAAUGCGUAGAUAUCGAGAGGAACACCUGCGGCGAAGGCGGGUUGCUGGGCUGACACUGACGCUGAGGCGCGAAAGCCAGGGGAGCGAACGGG